CAGCAGCCGCGGGAAUACGUAGGUGGCAAGCGUUGUCCGGAAUUAUUGGGCGUAAAGCGCGCGCAGGCGGAUAGGUCAGUCUGUCUUAAAAGUUCGGGGCUUAACCCCGUGAUGGGAUGGAAACUGCCAAUCUAGAGUAUCGGAGAGGAAAGUGGAAUUCCUAGUGUAGCGGUGAAAUGCGUAGAUAUUAGGAAGAACACCAGUGGCGAAGGCGACUUUCUGGACGAAAACUGACGCUGAGGCGCGAAAGCCAGGGGAGCGAACGGGAUUAGAUACCCGUGUAGUCCCUGUCUCUUAUACC
This 301-nucleotide ribosomal RNA is filed under the name uncultured bacterium. Its description in RNAcentral is "partial 16S ribosomal RNA". It matches the Rfam family "Bacterial small subunit ribosomal RNA", at positions 509 to 808 of the family's 1533-position model. The record is from RNAcentral.